This 88-nucleotide microRNA precursor is filed under the name Pelobates cultripes (western spadefoot toad). The record is from RNAcentral. Lineage: Eukaryota; Metazoa; Chordata; Amphibia; Anura; Pelobatidae.
ACAAGCUUUCGGGAGAACCUCCCUUUCUCAAGUCUGAAGCAUUUCAAAUGCUUCAGACUUGAGAAAGGGAGGUUCUCCCGAAAGCUUG